CCUACGGGGGACAGCAGUGAGGAAUAUUGGUCAAUGGACGAGAGUCUGAACCAGCCAAGUAGCGUGAAGGAUGACUGCCCUAUGGGUUGUAAACUUCUUUUAUAAAGGAAUAAAACGAGGCACGUGUGCCUUUUUGCAUGUACUUUAUGAAUAAGGAUCGGCUAACUCCGUGCCAGCAGCCGCGGUAAUACGGAGGAUCCGAGCGUUAUCCGGAUUUAUUGGGUUUACAGGGAGCGUAGAUGGGUUGUUAAGUCAGUUGUGAAAGUUUGCGGCUCAACCGUGAAAUUGCAAUUGGUACUGGCAGUCGUGAGUACAGUUGAGGUAAGCGGAAUUCGUGGUGUAGCGGUGAAAUGCUUAGAUAUCACGAAGAACCCCGAUUGCGAAGGCAGCUUACUAAACUGUGACUGACAUUGAUGCUCGAAAGUGUGGGUAUCAAACAGGAUUAGAUACCCUGGUAGUC
Molecule: ribosomal RNA, 460 nt
Filed under: uncultured bacterium
Lineage: Bacteria
Description: partial 16S ribosomal RNA
Rfam family: Bacterial small subunit ribosomal RNA
Source: RNAcentral